Molecule: long non-coding RNA, 1849 nt
Filed under: Pan troglodytes (chimpanzee)
Lineage: Eukaryota; Metazoa; Chordata; Mammalia; Primates; Hominidae
Description: long non-coding RNA NONPTRT004193
Source: RNAcentral
GUCAACCACUUAGAAUUGGGUAUUUUUGGUACCCAUGUCUACAAAAAGUGUAUGGCUUCCCUUGACAGUACUAUACUGAGGGGCAAGUGUUCCCAGUGUCUUUAAAUUGUUAGGUUCUCCAUAGUAUGAAUUCUCCAAAAUACAAAAUAGUCUGGUUACUUGUUGCACUGUCCCAUAUUUAGUACUUUCAUAGAACUUCAUUCCUAAGAGCAUUUUCUUAUGUACAAUGAACUGUCAUUUCUUAAAAAUAUUGCCUCAUUUCCCACAUUCAUGGGGUUUUCCCUCAUCCCCAGUGGGAAUAUUUCUAAUAGCUUAAGAGACUUGAUUUCUGGAAGGCUUUUGGACAUUCACAGGAUUCUUCUUUGCUGUGAAUGUUCUACUCUAUAAGGCUUGUCUACGGUUUUAAAAGUUUUUGAGAUCCACUGCAGUCAUGGGUUCACUCUACUCUAUGAAUUAUGAUCGGCUUUCCAUACACCACCUCAUUUAGAGUUCUCAUCCUCAUGGAGUACAGACACCUAACACGACGUGACUGUCUACAAACGUUAUCAUAAUUGCAUUUCCUGAAGUCCAAGAUGAUCUGUCAAAGACUACUAUUAACUGUAUUCCUAGGAUUUUUUUACUGUAUGAGUUCUCUGAUGAUUGAUGAGCUGUGACUUCUGUGAGAAAGCUUUCCCACAUUCAAUGCAUCGAUAAGGCUUCUCUCCUGUAUGAAUUCUCUGAUGAUUAACCAGCUGUGACUUCUGAGAGAAGGCCUUCCUACAUUCACUGCAUCCAUAGGGUUUCUCACCUGUAUGUGUCCUUUGAUGUGGUAUAAGGUGUGACUUCCGAGAGAAAGCUUUGCCACACUCACUGCAUUCAAAAGGCUUCUCUCCUGUAUGUAUUCUCUGAUGAUUGAUGAGACUUGACUUCUCCCUGAAGGCUUUUCUACAUUCAUUGCAUUCAUAAGGUUUUUCUCCUGUAUGAGUUCUCAGAUGUCUAAUUAGCUCUGACUUCUCAAAAAAAGCUUUCCUACAAAGACUGCAUUCAUAGGGUUUCUCUCCAGUGUGAAUUCUCUGAUGGGUAUUUAGCUGUGAUUUCUGGGAGAAAGCUUUUUCACAGUCCCUGCAUUCAUACGGUUUUUCUCCAGUAUGAGUUCUCUGAUGAGUUGCAAGACUUGACUUCUCACCAAAGGCCUUCCCACAUUCACUGCAUUCAUAGGGUUUCUCCCCUGUAUGUGUCCUCUGAUGUGAUAUGAGAUGUGACUUCUGACAAAAGGCUUUCCCACAUUCACUGCAUACAUAUGGUUUUUCUCCUGUAUGAAUUCUUUGAUGAUUAGUGAGACUUAAUUUUUCACUGAAAGCUUUCCCACACUCACUGCAUUCAUACGGUUUUUCUCCUGUAUGAGUUCUGUGAUGUGUAAUAAACUGAGACUUCUGGGGAAAGGUUUUGCCACAAUUACCACAGCCAAAGGCUAUGUCUCUUAUAUGUCUGCUCUGAUGUUUAAUGAGACUUGGUUUCUUACUGAAGCGCUUCCUACAUUCACUGCAUUCAUAGAGUUUCUCCCCUAAACGAUUUCUAUGAUAUAUGAUAAUCUGUGACUUUUUAUAGCUCUCUUUAUAUUUAUCACAGUCAUAGUAUUUUAACCAGGUAUCAGUAUCCUCAGGCUUGGAAUGGAGAAAAAAAUUAUCAAACACAUUAAAGUCAUCUGAUUCUGCUUUUCCAUAAUCUCCUUUUGGAAUAAGCAAAUCUAAAUGAUGUUUUAAAAUCAAUCCAUCUAAGUCACCUUCACUGUUUGAUUUCCUUAAAGGAACAAAGUUCAUGUUCAGAUUGAAAUUUUUUCCAAAUGCAUCACAUUCAUGACCUCUUUUUA